Molecule: ribosomal RNA, 492 nt
Filed under: uncultured bacterium
Lineage: Bacteria
Description: partial 16S ribosomal RNA
Rfam family: Bacterial small subunit ribosomal RNA
Source: RNAcentral
GAUGAACGCUAGCUACAGGCUUAACACAUGCAAGUCGAGGGGAAACGGCAUCGAAAGCUUGCUUUUGAUGGGCGUCGACCGGCGCACGGGUGAGUAGCGCGUAUCCAACCUGCCCAUCACUUGGGAAUAACCUUGCGAAAGUAAGACUAAUGCCCAAUGACAUCCCACGAAGGCAUCCGAAUGGGAUUAAAGAUUUAUCGGUGAUGGAUGGGGAUGCGUCUGAUUAGCUUGUUGGCGGGGUGACGGCCCACCAAGGCAACGAUCAGUAGGGGUUCUGAGAGGAAGGUCCCCCACAUUGGAACUGAGACACGGUCCAAACUCCUACGGGAGGCAGCAGUGAGGAAUAUUGGUCAAUGGGCGAGAGCCUGAACCAGCCAAGUAGCGUGCAGGAUGACGGCCCUAUGGGUUGUAAACUGCUUUUAUAAGGGAAUAAAGUGGGUCACGUGUGACUUUUUGCAUGUACCUUAUGAAUAAGGACCGGCUAAUUCCGUG